GAUGAAGAACGUAGUGAAAUGCGAUAAUUAAUGUGAAUUGCAGAAUUCAGUGAAUCAUCGAGUCUUUGAACGCACAUUGCGCCCCCUGGUAUUCCGGGGGGCAUGCCUGUCCGAGCGUCAUUGCUGCCCUCAAGCACGGCUUGCGUGUUGGGCUUCCGUCCCUGGCAACGGGGACGGGCCCAAAAGGCAGUGGCGGCACCAUGUCUGGUCCUCGAGCGUAUGGGGCUUUGUCACCCGCUCCCGUAGGUCCAGCUGGCAGCUAGCCUCGCAACCAAUCUUUUUAACCAGGUUGACCUCGGAUCAGGUAGGGAUACCCGCUGAACUUAAGCAUAUCAAUAAGCGGAGGA
Molecule: unclassified non-coding RNA, 347 nt
Filed under: soil metagenome
Description: partial contains 5.8S ribosomal RNA, internal transcribed spacer 2, and large subunit ribosomal RNA
Rfam family: 5.8S ribosomal RNA (bases 1-120)
Source: RNAcentral